GGGCCGUUAGCUCAGCUGGCAGAGCAACUGACUCUUAAUCAGUAGGUCCUCGGUUCGACCCCGAGACGGCCCACCA
RNAcentral lists this transfer RNA (76 nucleotides) under Desulfobacula sp. Its description in RNAcentral is "tRNA-Lys". It matches the Rfam family "tRNA". Rfam says of the family: Transfer RNA (tRNA) molecules are approximately 80 nucleotides in length. Their secondary structure includes four short double-helical elements and three loops (D, anti-codon, and T loops). Further hydrogen bonds mediate the characteristic L-shaped molecular structure. tRNAs have two regions of fundamental functional importance: the anti-codon, which is responsible for specific mRNA codon recognition, and the 3' end, to which the tRNAs corresponding amino acid is attached (by aminoacyl-tRNA synthetases). tRNAs cope with the degeneracy of the genetic code in two manners: having more than one tRNA (with a specific anti-codon) for a particular amino acid; and 'wobble' base-pairing, i.e. permitting non-standard base-pairing at the 3rd anti-codon position. Lineage: Bacteria; Pseudomonadati; Thermodesulfobacteriota; Desulfobacteria; Desulfobacterales; Desulfobacteraceae. The record is from RNAcentral.